Molecule: unclassified non-coding RNA, 348 nt
Filed under: soil metagenome
Description: partial contains 5.8S ribosomal RNA, internal transcribed spacer 2, and large subunit ribosomal RNA
Rfam family: 5.8S ribosomal RNA (bases 1-120)
Source: RNAcentral
GAUGAAGAACGUAGCGAAAUGCGAUAAGUAAUGUGAAUUGCAGAAUUCAGUGAAUCAUCGAAUCUUUGAACGCACAUUGCGCCCGCCAGUAUUCUGGCGGGCAUGCCUGUCUGAGCGUCAUUUCAACCCUCAUGCCCCUAGGGCGUGGUGUUGGGGAUCGGCCAAAGCCCGCGAGGGACGGCCGGCCCCUAAAUCUAGUGGCGGACCCGUCGUGGCCUCCUCUGCGAAGUAGUGAUAUUCCGCAUCGGAGAGCGAUGAGCCCCUGCCGUUAAACCCCCAACUUUCCAAGGUUGACCUCAGAUCAGGUAGGAAUACCCGCUGAACUUAAGCAUCUCAAUAAGCGGAGGA